CAGAUGACAGUAAAAUGUAAUCCCUGCCAAUUGAUCACUGUAGUCAGUGAUCAAUUGGCAGGGAAGGGGUUAAUUUUUAAUCAAAAUGAGUACAGGGAUUUUAAAUAAACUUUAUUAAUUUUUUUAACAGGGAGCAGGAUCAUUACUGAUCCGUCUCCCUGCACUUCACACAGAACCAGGAAGUGCAGGGAGGCGGAAGGGAAGUAUACUACGCACAUGUGCUGGGAAUCACUAUCGGGUGCUCCCGAUAGUGAUCCGGGGUUAAUUUUAACGGGUGACCGACAAGGUCCGUCACUCGUCGUUAUGGCAAUCCCCUGAGUGACGGACCUUGUCUGUCACUCGUGGUUAAGGGGUUACACUCACUAAGCUUUAGUUGUUCUGGUGACUAUAUUGUCCAUUUAAUCUUAAAAGAACACCCCAAUUACCAUAAUCACUAAAGUAACCUGAUCACUGCAGGAGUGACCUGGCACAAUCCCACAUUGUAAAUACUCAAACCAUUUUAGAAAAGUGACAGGUACCACUCCCUGCAUCCACUACUUCAGGCAAAGAGUCAGAAUUUUUUGUCUGUGCUAAGCCCGGUGGCACAGGGUGCACUCACUGGCGGAUCCAGGGGGGGCAACGGGGCAAUUGCCGCCCCCCUUCCCCCGAGAAUCUGAGGUUCUCCCUCUCCCUCCAGGUCCUUCUCCUGCGAGCACGGAGCGUUACCACGGCAAGACCGGGGCUAGAGUUCACUCUCACCACAUGGACCACCAGGGGUUCCUCACCGGACCACCAGGGAUUGAGAAAUGUCCCCCCUCGUCCCUAAACAAAGGUAAGAACGGAGGGGGGACAUUAUGUA
Non-coding RNA from Pelobates cultripes (western spadefoot toad), 838 nucleotides. NCBI's taxonomy places the organism in Eukaryota, Metazoa, Chordata, Amphibia, Anura, Pelobatidae. The record is from the annotation of a GenBank genome assembly.